UACAGAGGUCCCGAGCGUUGUUCGAAUUUAUUGGGCGUAAAGGGUGCGUAGGCGGCGGAGUAAGUUGGGUGUGAAAUCCCGGGGCUUAACCUCGGAAUUGCAUUCAAUACUGCUUCGCUCGAGUACUGGAGAGGAGGCUGGAAUUUACGGUGUAGCAGUGAAAUGCGUAGAUAUCGUAAGGAAGGCCGGUGGCGAAAGCGAGCCUCUGGACAGUUACUGACGCUGAUGCACGAAGGCCAGGGGAGCAAACGGG
RNAcentral lists this ribosomal RNA (253 nucleotides) under uncultured bacterium. RNAcentral describes it as "partial 16S ribosomal RNA". It matches the Rfam family "Bacterial small subunit ribosomal RNA", at positions 524 to 776 of the family's 1533-position model. The record is from RNAcentral.